AGAAGCGCUAGGGAUAUCUCCCCUCCCCCGCUCCCUCUGUCUCCCUCUCUCCCUCCCCUCUCCCCUCUCCCAUGAGAGGACACAGCCAGAAGGAGACCGUCUGCAAGCCAAGGAGAGAAGCCUCACCAGCCAUGGAAUCUAUAGGCACCUUGAUGUUGGACUUCCAGCCUCCAGAGCUAUGGAAGCCAACCGUCGGGAGCACACACACCACAUUACAAGGAUCCCAGCCAGGCCCAGGAGGGGAAGCAAGGACACCCUAGAGGCAGAGAGAACUGGCAGGAUUUUUCAUGGGCCGAUCUGCUGAAUUCAGCCUAGGAGCUGAGACCAACAUCUGAGUCUCUUCAGCACACAAGUUUGAAAGAAGUCCUAGCAACUUCAAGCUCAGAACUACGGGUGGCAGCAGCUCCCUCUUGACGUCGAAGCCUCCCAUUCCAGAGAGAGUCAAGGCCUGGAUCAAACAAAGCCCACAAGCACCGAUGACUGAGCUGCUGACUACCCCCAGCAUCUCCAACUCAACCUCCUCUUUCUGCCUCUACCCAAAUUUUAAAACUUUCAAACAUGGGUUUAAAAAUGGUAAUGAGUAAAGUUGCAUCCAAGUGUAUCAAAUAAAACUAAAUAUCCAUAAA
Molecule: long non-coding RNA, 626 nt
Filed under: Homo sapiens (human)
Lineage: Eukaryota; Metazoa; Chordata; Mammalia; Primates; Hominidae
Description: non-protein coding lnc-CDK20-8:9
Source: RNAcentral